GGCCGGACAAACGAAUCGUGUGCAAACCUCGAUUCGUAAAUAAAUAACGAUAGAUCACGGUUUCGAUAUAGAAUUCUUUAUAAUUUCGGAUUAAUUGUGCAUUGCUUCUUAUAAAAUUGUUAAUUAAAAUGCCUUACGUUAAUUAAAAUGCCUUACAUGACAAA
Frieseomelitta varia is the source of this 164-nucleotide long non-coding RNA. RefSeq lists it as uncharacterized. Lineage: Eukaryota; Metazoa; Arthropoda; Insecta; Hymenoptera; Apidae. The record is from RefSeq and is a predicted model, not a curated record. The transcript is spliced from 2 exons.